This 477-nucleotide ribosomal RNA is filed under the name Candidatus Scalindua wagneri. Its description in RNAcentral is "bacterial SSU rRNA". It matches the Rfam family "Bacterial small subunit ribosomal RNA", at positions 365 to 832 of the family's 1533-position model. The record is from RNAcentral. Lineage: Bacteria; Pseudomonadati; Planctomycetota; Candidatus Brocadiia; Candidatus Brocadiales; Candidatus Scalinduaceae.
UUCGCAAUGCCCGAAAGGGUGACGAUGCGACGCCGCGUGAGCGAAGAAGGCCCUAGGGUUGUAAGGCUCUGUCAGGGGUUAAGAAAUGUAGAUAGGUUAAUACCCUGUUUAUUUGACAAAGGCCCCAAAGGAAGCCACGGCCAACUCUGUGCCAGCAGCCGCGGUAAUACAGAGGUGGCAAGCGUUGUUCGGUAUUAUUGGGCGUAAAGAGCACGUAGGUGGUUUUGUAAGUCAGAUGUGAAAGCCUUCUGUUCAAAGGAAGAACGGCAUCUGAAACUGCAGAUCUUGAGUGUAGGAGGGGAGAGUGGAACUUCUGGUGGAGCGGUGAAAUGCGUAGAUAUCAGAAGGAACGUCGGCGGCGAAAGCGACUCUCUGGCCUAUUACUGACACUGAGUGUGCGAAAGUUAGGGGAGCAAACGGGAUUAGAUACCCCGGUAGUCCUAACUGUAAACGAUGGGCACUAAGUAGAGGGGUUUU